AUAAGAUGCUAAUGCGGGGCUGAGGGUAGGGACAAGGUAAUGAGAAUGAGGCUGUCUUAGAGCAAUUAGUCCGUCAGCCUGAUUGGAAUGAGAGUAUGGCAGGAAGAACAAAGCUGAAUGAACAGAAGCUGUCUAGGUCUCUCACAAUGAAAAUUCUGAUAACAUAGCGGGCUCUUCACAUUUGAACUCUGAGGACCCACCAGAGGGGAGUCAACCUAACGACAGUGGGUGGAUACCACAUUAGCCCCCAUCUCAACCUACCCCUACAUCCUCCCAGAGAAUAGGGACCUCCUUCAGGCAGUGACGCGGAUGACUCCUGGAGAUAGGAAGGCAACCCCUCCUGCCACAGAAGAGCUCCAGUCAAGGAAGGCUCCUCAUUCUCUAAGCCAGCGGCCCUCAACCCCGGCCACACCUCAGAAUCACUUGAACAGCAUGUAAAAAUAUAUCACUGUCUAGACUCCACCCAUUUCAGUUAAAUCAGAAUUUCUGGGAAUGUGGCCCAAGCACCAGUGUUGAGUGUUUUUUUCUUUAACACUCUAUGGUUGAGAGCCACCAGCGUAAGCUAUCAAGAUGUUUCAAGGAGGAGAACAGAACCAAUGAAGUAAACUCUAAGCUGAUAUUGCAUCUAAAAAAACCCCAGUGUUCAGGAGAAUGCUGGCAGACUAAAAACUCCUUGAUAGACCAUCAGACUUGCUAGUCCUGGUACCAUAACUCUGGCUAUUAUAUCUGUGAAUGACACUAGCCUAAGUGACCCUGAGCCUAUGGUUCUAUGACUAUAACUUAUGCUAAUCUGUUUGCCACCGUCUGUGGCUGGACAGACCCACAUGCACACACCCUUCCACCCGGGUUCCACAGGAAACUAUUGAAUUAAACACUAUUGGGUUUGGUUUUUUCCCGAAUACCAAUUUUUCCUGUCUACAACCUAAUCUUUUGGAUCUGACGUGCUCUGUACAUAGUUACAUUUUGUCAUGUCUGUUCAAUCCAGAAUCAUCGCUCCAUGAAGAUCCUGCUCUACUUUACUGGCUCCAAAAUGAAUCUAAGCCAUCUGGGCACUCAGCCACUGUCAUCACUUUCUCACCUUUAAGAUCACCAAUAUCAGUGUCACGGUGACACAGUAUUGAGAAAGCAUAAAAUAAAAAAGCCUUUGUAGAACUCAUUUAAAUUCUCAACUUUUUAAAAACAAAUUCUUAGUUAUUUUACCCAUUGAAAUCUUUUGCCUCAACUCUGCAAAGUGUCGACUAGUUCUCUUUAUAAAACUCCAGACAGAGAAUAGAGGCUUUUCUACAUGAAAAAAAAAAAACGCACCUCGAUGUCUGUGGACCUCAGACUCCUCAUCUUUAAAAUGAUGGGAUUGGACGAGAUAAUCAAGUCCCAUCUAGUUCUUUGACUCUGUGACUCAUUUCUACAAUUUAUUUACUCCCUAAUCUGUGAGAACCAAUCCCAAACAAUGCAUCUUUGGUAUUGUUUUUAACAAAACAUAUUUACCCGUGAGACAUGAUACAUUUUUUAAUAAGUUUUUAAAAAGUGUUGCGUCUUUCUAACAAAG
Molecule: long non-coding RNA, 1546 nt
Filed under: Equus caballus (horse)
Lineage: Eukaryota; Metazoa; Chordata; Mammalia; Perissodactyla; Equidae
Description: lncRNA (ENSECAG00000045486.1)
Source: RNAcentral